GAGUUUGAUCCUGGCUCAUGACGAACGCUGGCGGCGCGCCUAACACAUGCAAGUCGAACGAGCGAGAGAGAGCUUGCUUUCUCGAGCGAGUGGCGAACGGGUGAGUAACGCGUGAGGAACCUGCCUCAAAGAGGGGGACAACAGUUGGAAACGACUGCUAAUACCGCAUAAGCCCACAGCUCGGCAUCGAGCAGAGGGAAAAGGAGCAAUCCGCUUUGAGAUGGCCUCGCGUCCGAUUAGCUAGUUGGUGAGGUAACGGCCCACCAAGGCGACGAUCGGUAGCCGGACUGAGAGGUUGAACGGCCACAUUGGGACUGAGACACGGCCCAGACUCCUACGGGAGGCAGCAGUGGGGAAUAUUGCACAAUGGGGGAAACCCUGAUGCAGCGACGCCGCGUGGAGGAAGAAGGUCUUCGGAUUGUAAACUCCUGUUGUUGAGGAAGAUAAUGACGGUACUCAACAAGGAAGUGACGGCUAACUACGUGCCAGCAGCCGCGGUAAAACGUAGGUCACAAGCGUUGUCCGGAAUUACUGGGUGUAAAGGGAGCGCAGGCGGGAAGGCAAGUUGGAAGUGAAAUCCAUGGGCUCAACCCAUGAACUGCUUUCAAAACUGUUUUUCUUGAGUAGUGCAGAGGUAGGCGGAAUUCCCGGUGUAGCGGUGGAAUGCGUAGAUAUCGGGAGGAACACCAGUGGCGAAGGCGGCCUACUGGGCACCAACUGACGCUGAGGCUCGAAAGUGUGGGUAGCAAACAGGAUUAGAUACCCUGGUAGUCCACACUGUAAACGAUGAUUACUAGGUGUUGGAGGAUUGACCCCUUCAGUGCCGCAGUUAACACAAUAAGUAAUCCACCUGGGGAGUACGACCGCAAGGUUGAAACUCAAAGGAAUUGACGGGGGCCCGCACAAGCAGUGGAGUAUGUGGUUUAAUUCGACGCAACGCGAAGAACCUUACCAAGUCUUGACAUCCUGCGACGCACAUAGAAAUAUGUGUUUCCUUCGGGACGCAGAGACAGGUGGUGCAUGGUUGUCGUCAGCUCGUGUCGUGAGAUGUUGGGUUAAGUCCCGCAACGAGCGCAACCCUUAUGGUCAGUUACUACGCAAGAGGACUCUGGCCAGACUGCCGUUGACAAAACGGAGGAAGGUGGGGAUGACGUCAGAUCAUCAUGCCCUUUAUGACUUGGGCUACACACGUACUACAAUGGCGUUAAACAAAGAGAAGCAAGACCGCGAGGUGGAGCAAAACUCAGAAACAACGUCCCAGUUCAGACUGCAGGCUGCAACUCGCCUGCACGAAGUCGGAAUUGCUAGUAAUCGCAGAUCAGCAUGCUGCGGUGAAUACGUUCCCGGGCCUUGUACACACCGCCCGUC
RNAcentral lists this ribosomal RNA (1368 nucleotides) under uncultured bacterium. RNAcentral's name for it is "bacterial SSU rRNA". It matches the Rfam family "Bacterial small subunit ribosomal RNA". The record is from RNAcentral.